AGUUCUCCCUUCUUUUGACUAUAAUACUUGCCGACCUAACCCUAAAACCCAAAAUAAAAAGUAAGCAAAUAAAUAAGCCAACCUUGCUCCAAAUUUACCGUCGGCUUCAAGUUUCCCGGCAACAAAUCUUAAAAGCAAGUUAAAAAUUCAUAUUUUUUUCAGUUCAAAUCUCAUGUUCUUUUCCUCCUCUUCAAAACCCAUGACCUUUUCGGUGCUCUGCUGGGUGCUUCAUCAUUAACCAUCAUCCAUUACCACUUUGUUUUUCUAGGAAAAUGAUCAACAAAGCGUGAACAUUAAAAGGUGUAAGAUUUUCUUUGAGGGGUUCUUCCGCGAUUUCGAACACCUUGGGAAGUGCUGCUACCGAUAGUAAAAGUAUGAGAGAAGAAGCUCCAAGUCAAACAGCGGAAGAAGUACCUGCAACUUUGGCUGGUACUGCCAUUACCUUCUCAUUUAUUCUUUCUUUGGUUUUAGGCUCAUUUAUUACAUUUUGCAAAUGCCCCUUCUCACUUUUCCAAUUAAGUUUCUUGAUAGAUUCUUGUUAGCAUAUAAGCGUUUAUAACAAUUCGUGCUUGAAUGGGAGAUAGAUUUUGGUUUAUGCUAUAAGGUUAGGCCUUCAACUAGUUGUCAUUUAGGUUUGACUUUCUUUUGUCUAAUUUGAUUCUUACAUUGAAAUUUUAUAUAAAUUACCACUUUACUUUGUAAACAUAACUGUUUUCAACUUUUAUGCAACAUAUGUUCAAGCUUAUUCUUGAUGUAUAUAGAUUUUUGCAUUUGCUUUCUUUACUUAUUGUUGUGAUAUGAUAGGUUUUAGUUUCACCUAAAAAUUAGAAAACAACUAUUUGGUUUUUAAAUAGGGACUCUUAGGAAUUUUUACUAUUUGACUUAUAAUUGAUCCAUGUCAUUAUUUGCAAAAUAAUCAACAUCCUUUUUCCCAAAAAUAGCUAAUAUUUAGUAGGAUUUGACUUGCUAUAUUUCCUAACAACUUUCAAAAUCUUCUCACCUCAUCAUACACUAUAAUUUUCUUCACACUAGUAAUGGCCAAAAUUCACCAAGAAUAUAAAUAAUGAAUAACAUUUUCGUAGAAAAACCACCAAGAAUAUGAAUAUUAAAAUGAAAUGAAUAUCAUUAACGUUCAAGAUAGAAUUGCAUGUCUUAAAGUUACUUACCAGAAAAAAAAAACUAGCAUUUAUAAUUUUGAAAACUGUUGGUAUAAUUAACGCCAAGUGAGGGAUAGACACAUAAAGAGUUUAUAAUAUAUAUAUAGUGAUGGGAUAGGAAUAUCAUAGGCAAGGGGUUAGUUUGGUUUUCUCGGUGGUAAAAUUCAAUCCAUGCGAACAUAAAUCUACGUUUUUCCUUCUUUCUUUUCCUUAAAAGAUAUUAGACUCUCUAAAUUUGUAAGUUCACAAUUAUGUUUUAUGACUAUAUAUCAAAGUCUUGAUAGACUCUCAUGUUGAUUUAUUGUUUACGUCUUAUAAGUUAUGAAGUAGCGAAACAUUCUCAAUCAUACACAUGUAUUAAUUAUUUGAAGUAGUUGAUAAUUAAUACUUAGCCCUUCAACAUUAUAAAAAAUUCAAUUUAGUCAUCUUUUAAUUUUUCGUCUUUUUAACUAUUAAAUUUGUGUUUUUUUUCAAAUCAUACCAACAAAGAUGAAAAUUUUAAUGUUUAAAUUGACACAUGAUAUGUCAACAUUUAAAUAAUUAACAUCCUUUUUCCCUCUUAGGAUUAGUUUACUAUACAAAGACCGUUUUUCGCAUUACUAGGAGGUCGAUUUCCUGUGCUAGUAGACAUAGCUAUUUAACAAUCGAUAUAUAUACAAUUAAGAAUGGUUGAACACAUCCAUCAUCUCUAACAAUAAUUUACCUUCCAUCACCAUGCAAUAAUAACAAUAGACUUGAAGUUCUUUCUUUUGGAAAGGUUAGAUGUUGCACCAAGUUGAAAUUUUAUAAGGUUAUCCUGUUUCAUUUUUAUAAUAAAUAAGAUGCUUAUCCAAAAGAAAGAAUGAAUGAAUUAAAAAAUCGAAAAAACCUUUAAAGGAUUUAAAACUUACCUUAUUUUUUACAUGUUUUAUUUCUUUUUAUUUCAGUAUUUACCAUUUAAAUAUUAUUAUAUUUAUUGAUGGUUGUGGAAGUCUCCUAAUGCAUCUAAAAAACCUUUAAAGGAUCAUCUUGAAAAGAGUUAUAUUUCAGGCCUCUAAACUGAAGUAUUUGCUUGUAAUUAAGAAAAUAUGUUUGCAUUUUAGACUUAUUAUUAGAGCAUUACAUACUAAAGCUUGAAUUGUGUUUCAACUGUGAAUUUAUGUUACUUUUAAUUACUGGAAAGACGUUUGGUAGUCUUUGGUAGUAGUUGCAGGUAGGAUGAAAGAAGCAAGAAGGAAAAGAGAAUUGUGAAGAGAGAAAAUAGAAGAAAAAGGACGGAUUGUGAGGAGAAAAGAAAAUAAAGAUAACAGUUAUUCUUUGUGCAACAAAAUUCAAUGGAGCAAUUUAGAAGAGAAGAAGUAGGGAGCAACUAAAAAAGGGAGAUCAGAGAUGUGAAGAAGGGGAAGAGAAAUCUACCUUGGGUUUUGCAUAGAAUCUUGAUAAGAAGUUAGAGUGCAGCGAGAACUUCCUGCAGUCCUGCCUUUGUUCUGUUUUCUUGGUUUUGAAUUCUAUGAUUCAUAAAACUUAAAGAAUGUUGAUGAAUGAUUCAACUUUGGAUUUCAUUGCCCAAACCAUGAGCUAAUUAUCUUUGGGUUUGAAUUAUUGGGGUGAAUAUUGAAUUAUUUGUAAUGCUCAUAAUAUGCUUUUGAUUAAAAUUAUUGUUUCAUUCUAUUGUUGUUUAAUUGGAAUGCAUUCAUGCAAGCUCUAGACAUAAUUGAUUGCAUGUUAUAAUCUUAGAUGGCUUUGAAUUUGAAAGGAUUAAAUACAUCAUAUUAUUAAUCGAUUAAUACAGGCAAGUUCUCGAAAGAAUAUUUGCAACACUCUAGACAUAGAAGAUGUGAUCUGUACAGGUGUAGAGCGUUAGUUAGGUUAUCAUUCGUGAGUCUUGUAAACAUACAUAGACUCUGAAUAAUAAUUAAAGUUUAACUCUCGAAAGAAGUAGACUGCAGUGGUAAAUCUUUGGGCAAUAGUUUAGUCAUAACUUUGCCAUGGCAUUAUUAUGUUAUGAAAAUAUUUCCUGAGUAAUUCCAACCUUUAUCAUUCAACAGCAGAAAUACUCUCUACUUGUUCCUUGUGAAUUGCCACGACAUUUAGAUUGUUUGGUCGUUUUUCAGUUAUAAAUUGAUAUUAUUAGUUCAUUCAUUAAUUCCCUUCAAUAAUUUAUACUUUGUUUCUUUUGCACAGUCUCAUUCGUUAAAUCUUCAGUAAUACUAACUAAUUCAAAUAAACUUUCGAUCUCUGUUGAAACCAUACUCAUUCAUCAUUAUAUUACUUGAAUCGAUGUGUACACUUUCACAUUUUGAUUAUUUACACACAAUAGAAAUAUAUGAAAACAAUCCUCCUAAUGUGCAUAAUGAUCAAUGGAAGUGGCUGGUGGAGUGAUGGAGACACACCACAAGCUGCGGCACAAUCAGAAAAGAUGAAAGAAUCCCGAACAAAGGUGCGUUAUGCACGCAUCGCUGGUAACAUAGGAUAUGUGACCCUCAAUACACAAUUUGCUACGAAGGAAGGCCAUGAGCCCUCGUGUUUGGAGAAGUUUAGAUUUCAACAUUUGUGGAAAGAUGUGAGUGACAAAUUGAGCAGUGAGGUAGCAGAACAAGUUUAUGAUGAAGCAUGCAAAAGGGUUAAAGACUCUAUGCCAACACCUAAGAGUUCUUUCGCGCCUUAAGACAACAUUGCAUUAGAAAACGAGGUGUAUACACAAGUAUUCGACCCUGGCAAGGAUGGAAAAACGUUGGGAUAUGGACGUGGGAUGACCAAAUCCAGGUUGUUUGGCUAUGGUUCAGUCACCUGAGGAAGCCAAUCUACAUCGACCAUUAGUACAUUGAUUGAAGAGAUGAGCGCUAAACAUGUCGAGCAAAUACAAACAAUUCAAGCCGAACAAGCAGUUCAAGAGAAGACUCUAAUCGAGGAAGUAGAAUCUCAAUUUUGUACGAAAGCCGCAGAGCGAGAAGCUUGUUUGAUAGCUGAGGCAGAAGAAAGAUUUAUGAAAUUAACUGAAAAUGAAUAGGCAAAGUUCAGGGAUAUGAUGGAUGCUUGUGAGAAGAAGUACAGGGCUCUCCUCAACGAGUGUAUGGCAAACGGAAUGUCAAGAGAGCACUUGGCAGCAAAAAUAGCGAAAAACGAGCCAAAAUCAAACAAAUAGAGCUGUUUUCAGGAGCCACAUGGCUUGGGCAUUUCCACACGGGAUGGCCAUACGCCCGUGUGAGCCAUACGGGCUGGACACAUGCCCGUUUCAGCCACACGGGCUAGACACAAGCCCAUGUCAACCACACAGGCUGGACACACUCCCACGUGCCAGCCCGUGUCGAUUUCGCAUCCUACUUCCCAAAUACGCGAAAAACCCUAAUUUUUUGGCUUUUUGAGCAUUCUAAAGUCUAUAAAUACCCAUUAGAAGAAGACAUAAGGGAGUAAUUAGGGAAGAUCAAAGAAAACACUCGAAGUACACCGUCGAAAUCAACUCGAAAGUGAAUCUCCAUCAAGAUCGAAGAUCUCCUUUUAAUUUCUUUCAAAGUUCUAUUGAAUUUCUUUAUAUCUUGUGGUUUUUCUAACUUUGAGAUGUUUUCAUUUAGGAUUAUGAACUAAAUCCCUAGAUACCUAGGGAGGAUGAAAUCUUUGAUGAAUCCUUUUAUUUAAUUUCUGUUUUACGCGAUAAAUAAUUGAUUCUUAUUCUCAAUUAUGUAUGCUUACUUCUUGUUUUAAUAUUUCUGGGAUAUUAAUUCAUGUUUAAUGUGCUUAAUUCAAUGGAACAAAAGUCCUUUUUUAAGAGUAGAUCUAGCAUAAUUGAGUGGAGUUGCAUACAAUCCUUGAAAUAAGAUGACAUAAAUCUACCGGGUUAGAGUCAAAUCUAAUAGACGAAUCCAUAGAUCAAGUUAAUGCAACGAUAGGGGUUUUAAUUAGAAAGAGAUUUCAAUUAAUCAACCUAGAUUUAGUUGUUCUUACUCUCGAAAGAGAUAUUAACAUAAUUUAGAGAUUUCUACAGAUCAAGACAUAAGUGAAUAAAUCGUUUAAUUCAGAUUCAUAGUAAGAGGUGAAGUCUAGGUGAAUUCUUUCCUGGGUAUUGUCUAUCUCAUUGGUUAAUAUUCAAUUAUUUCCUUGAUUCAUUGUCUGUUGUGUUCUUAGUUAAAUUAGUUUCGUAAAUAUAGAUUAAAACACAUAACCCCAAAUUGUCGGCUAAAUAAUAGAAAAACAGUAAUUUCUAAUACUUUUAGUUCUCAUGGAUACUACGAUAUUCUCUACUCACCAUAGCUAUACUAUUGUUUGAUAGGUGCGCUUACCUUUGUCAUAUUUAUAGUUAGUUUAUUGACCAUCAUGGAUGUACUGAUGAAAAUUCUUUAUUUAGCUUGAAUUUAUGGUUCUUUGGUAAAUACUAAAAUAUUCUUCCCACGUGUUCAUGUUAUUUCUCAUCUAACUCGUAUAAAUAGAAAAUGUACAUUACUAUUUUUCAGUUGAAUUUCAGAGUAGCGGACUUGAUGAUAAAGCCUUCAGUUCGGAUGAUGAUGAAUGAGGCUUGCUGCAUAUUAUGUAUUAUAUAUAUAUGUUAUAGUGCUUGAUGAAUGCAGUUGUCCCAUAAC
RNA transcript from Gossypium raimondii (Peruvian cotton), 5710 nucleotides. RefSeq lists it as uncharacterized. The record is from RefSeq and is a predicted model, not a curated record. NCBI's taxonomy places the organism in Eukaryota, Viridiplantae, Streptophyta, Magnoliopsida, Malvales, Malvaceae. The transcript is spliced from 5 exons.